CAGGGGUAACAUUGGCUGCAAACACAUACUACUAGCUCAACGACCACUGCGUCACUUCCGGAAGUUUAAAGUUCUAAAACUUCUAAUUGAUAAACUACGUGAUUCAUACCUAUCGUAGACUGAGAAAAAAUUCAGUUAACCAAUGCAACGUGUUUGCUACGUAGAAUUAUAUUGAUAUUUAGUUUAAAUUAAUUCAAGUGUACAUUUAUUACAUUCGUCGGUGUCCAGAAGAUAUUACAAUUUGUUGUGCAACACAUCGACAAGAGUAACGUUUUACAAUUUUUAUUUUUAAUGAAGUGGGAUAAAUUUUAUAAGUGCACAAAUGUUGUGACAAGGUUAAGUAACCUUAGUACCUCAAGCAAGAUAAGAUAUCACAGAAUUUUUAUUUUUGUUAUUGCAAUUAAAACUAUUCGAAAGAGUAAUAGUAUUAUUUCCAUAACCAACCUCAUGGCCUGCCAAAAAUUAAUAAAUCAAGUUUUUUAAUGUGGUGUACGAUAAUAUAAAAAUAGAAACUUCGAAAGAUAUUUCCGUACAGUAAAUAAUGUCGUAUAUAAUUGAUUAUCCUGAAUGUUUGACGUAUAUCGAGCUCUAAACUUUACCUUAAUUAUAAAUAACAAAUCUACGGAACUUUACGUAAAAAUGCAGCAGUUUUUAUGACGAAUCUUAAAAAAUAAAUCUCGUUAUUGUGAUGCAUUAUCGAAACAUUGAUUCUACUAAUUUAUUACGACUAUUAUACGGAAAAGAGGCUAAUUUUGUAAACUAUUAAACAAAUAAAACGUCCAUAAACUAAUUUUAA
Molecule: long non-coding RNA, 796 nt
Organism: Bombus impatiens (common eastern bumble bee)
Lineage: Eukaryota; Metazoa; Arthropoda; Insecta; Hymenoptera; Apidae
Exons: 2
Source: RefSeq, a predicted model, not a curated record